GCCUUACUAUAUAUUUGUAAGGUGAAACCUGCUCAAUGAUUGCCAAUAAUGAGUAAAAACAAUUAAAUAGCCGCGGUAACUCUGACCGUGAUAAAGUAGCAUAAUCACUCGUCAUUUAAUUGGUGACUGGAAUGAAUGGUCAAACGAAUCUUUAACUGUCUCAGAAAGAAAUUGAUCUAAUUUGAAAAAACAGUGAAGAUGCUGUUAGAUGAUUAUAAGACGAAAAGACCCUAUCGAGCUUUACUAAAAGCUUAUAACUACCGUACAUAAAAAUAUUCUGAAAUAAUAUAAAUUGUAAGCUUGUUAGUUUGGUUGGGGCGACCACCUCUAAAAAAGUAUCAGAGGAAUUCUAAAGGUUUAAUAAUAAUAUAUAAUGCCUUACUGAAUACAAACUAGUUAACCAGUUACUUAUUAGUAGGAUAUAAUGACCCGUUAAACUAAUUCUAAAAUUUAACGACCAUGAAAAAAGUUACCGUAGGGAUAACAGGGUAAUAUUUUCGAAGAGUUCAUAUCGAUGAAAAUGUUUGCCACCUCGAUGUUGAAUUGUGAUAUCCUAAAGGUGUAGCAGCUUUUAAGGGUUG
RNAcentral lists this ribosomal RNA (581 nucleotides) under Rhopilema verrilli. RNAcentral's name for it is "partial 16S large subunit ribosomal RNA". It matches the Rfam family "Bacterial large subunit ribosomal RNA", at positions 1832 to 2574 of the family's 2925-position model. The record is from RNAcentral. Lineage: Eukaryota; Metazoa; Cnidaria; Scyphozoa; Rhizostomeae; Rhizostomatidae.